This 253-nucleotide ribosomal RNA is filed under the name uncultured bacterium. Its description in RNAcentral is "partial 16S ribosomal RNA". It matches the Rfam family "Bacterial small subunit ribosomal RNA", at positions 524 to 776 of the family's 1533-position model. The record is from RNAcentral.
UACGUAGGGUGCGAGCGUUAAUCGGAAUUACUGGGCGUAAAGCGUGCGCAGGCGGUUUUGUAAGCCGGAUGUGAAAUCCCCGGGCUUAACCUGGGAAUGGCAUUCGGGACUGCAAGGCUGGAGUGCGGCAGAGGAGACUGGAAUUCCUGGUGUAGCAGUGAAAUGCGUAGAUAUCAGGGGGAACACCGAUGGCGAAGGCAGGUCUCUGGGCUGACACUGACGCUCAUGCACGAAAGCGUGGGGAGCAAACAGG